GCCACUCAAGAUCGCAAUUGAGCAACCAACACUAAAAUAAUGGCGGAGAUGGGAAGUGGAAUUGGAAGCAAAACAGUGGCAGUAGCAGUAAUGCUGGUGGUGCUGGUGGGACUAGGAUGCCCUGAAUGGUCAAGGGCUAUGAGCUUGUGUAACAUGGACGAGAAGGGACUAAUGGCAUGCAAGCCAUCAGUGACACCACCACCGCCCGACCCGGUCGAUCCCACCUCCGAUUGUUGCGAUGCCCUCAAAGGGGCGGACUUGAAAUGCUUGUGUUCUUAUAAGAACUCCUUCACGUUGCCCUCUCUUGGGAUUGAUCCUGACCUUGCCUUGGCACUCCCAUCCAAAUGCAACCUCGCCCUUCCUCCAGAUUGUUAAAAGGUACGUACGAGGAGUAUACAUGCUGGCAAUGGCCUUCAUUAUAUGGAUCACAUAUAGUUAAUUGGUUGAGAGCUGGGACUGCAGUUUUAUGGAGUAGUACUGUUUUAAUUAGCAUCGUCGUUGUACGUAUAUGGUUUGUAAUAGCAACCUGAAUUAUAGCCGAAUCAGCAUGGAAGUCUGAAGAUCCCUAUUGUGGUGUUUGUUGUGUGGUGUAAGAAUUAAUUCCUCUCUUUUAAGUCUUUGACCACGCUUAUUCUGAAACAUGAAAUCUGCGGCAGGGCAAAUGCAUGAAAUGAAUGCCUCUUUGGGUAAAGCUUACAGGGUAAACAUACAAGAUUAGAGUCGGUUAAACCUGUUUACGUAAUAGUUAUUAUGUCUACGGAGUAGAAUAAAUGAGACUUAACAUUACGAGAUGCUAAAGUAUUGUCA
Coffea arabica (coffee) is the source of this 807-nucleotide non-coding RNA. NCBI's taxonomy places the organism in Eukaryota, Viridiplantae, Streptophyta, Magnoliopsida, Gentianales, Rubiaceae. The record is from RefSeq and is a predicted model, not a curated record.